Molecule: unclassified non-coding RNA, 323 nt
Filed under: soil metagenome
Description: partial contains 5.8S ribosomal RNA, internal transcribed spacer 2, and large subunit ribosomal RNA
Rfam family: 5.8S ribosomal RNA (bases 1-120)
Source: RNAcentral
GAUGAAGAACGCAGCGAAAUGCGAUAAGUAGUGUGAAUUGCAGAAUUCAGUGAAUCAUCGAAUCUUUGAACGCACAUUGCGCCCCUUGGUAUUCCAUGGGGCAUGCCUGUUCGAGCGUCAUUUGUACCUUCAAGCUUUGCUUGGUGUUGGGUGUUUGUCCUGAGGGACUCGCCUUAAAGUAAUUGGCAGCCAGUGUUUGGUUUUGAAGCGCAGCACAAGUCGCGAUUCAAAGCUAUACGCCCGCUUCCACAAGCCUUUUUCACUUUUGACCUCGGAUCAGGUAGGAAUACCCGCUGAACUUAAGCAUAUCAAUAAGCGGAGGA